Molecule: non-coding RNA, 113 nt
Filed under: Aeromicrobium choanae
Lineage: Bacteria; Bacillati; Actinomycetota; Actinomycetes; Propionibacteriales; Nocardioidaceae
Description: SAM-I sequence
Rfam family: SAM riboswitch aptamer (S box leader)
About the family: The SAM riboswitch is found upstream of a number of genes which code for proteins involved in methionine or cysteine biosynthesis in Gram-positive bacteria. The SAM riboswitch acts at the level of transcription termination control.
Source: RNAcentral
CACUCAUCCCGAGGGGCAGAGGGACACGGCCCGACGAAGCCCCAGCAACCAGCCGAUCACCGGCCAGGUGCUAAUUCCGUCCGCGGUCGAACGUCGACCCGGAGAGAUGAAUG